AAAGUCUGACUAUUACACUUCCAGAUGAAGACUCCCCACGGAGGAUAGAAGUCUAUGGAUUUUUAACUUGUCUGCAAUUGCCCUUCCUGCCUGCCUGCUUGUCAUUUGUAGGUUUGGGGUUUUUUUAGUUUAGUUUUUUUUUUUUUUUUUUUUAUGCAACUGAUAGUUUGUUUACAGAUUCUAAGUCAAAGCAAUGCAGAAUUCUGUUGGAUUUACUUUCAAUAGAUCUAAAACUGAUCUCAUCUCAUUAUUAAUAUCUUUUUCUAGGUAUGACUUAGACCUGCUAUUCUAUUCCAGUGAUUAUUUCAGGAGUGUGAAUGUGAAUCUGCCCAAGCCAUAGGGUCAAGAUCCAAUUUAGUUUCUUCCAGAUGGGUCACCACCUGGGAUAUAGCCAACCAGUAUCUCCAAGUGUAUCUCCUUGGUGAUGGUUCAAUAAUAAUUCAUGUACUGGCUUCCCCAGAUAAUGGUAUUUUCCCUCUUCAGCCUAUAUCCCUAUUUCAUGGAUUUUUUGGAAACCUAAUCACUGCUAACAAUUACCCCUCCCCACCUUAUUUAUAAAGCAUACAUCAUUUCUGUUUUGGAAACUUCAGUUUUAAAAUGCUGCUACACAGAGUGUCUACUAUCUAGAACAUCAGACUAGAAUAUGCUUUUGGGAAAACUGGUCUCGUCUACUCCAGGAAGAUAUUCUUAUCCUGUCACUAUAUGCAAGCAAACAAAUGCAAGCAAAUGUUUAUGGGAAAUACACUAAAAGUCUAUCUGCAUGACACCAAGAAAUCUAUUUUAACUGACUUUUCAUCCUGGAUUAAAUAUUAAUCUUAAUCUUAAAAUCGUAUGGAUAGAAGCACCAGAGUGACCCAACCUCAAAUCACACAGGCAUAUGUGCAGGUGCAUACAAACAUAUAUAUACAUGUACAUAAAUUACUUAACAGAAGGGAUUGGACUAUAUUAGCUUUUUCAUUAGGGAAAGGAACUGAUAUCAUUGAGCAUCUACUAUGUCUCAGCCUUACUGAUAGGUACGCAAACCACAUUAUCUUCAUCACAGUCUCACUACAGCUGUGAUUUCCCUGAUGAUAAAUCCAAGGAUCAGGGAUCAGGGAUCAAUGCAGCUUCUCUAAAUUGUGUAGAUAUUAAUAAGAGAAAAUGUAUCUUUCUUUUUUGUUUCCCUUUUUUUAAGCCAGCAUGCUGAUGGCAACUUGUGACCUGAUGGCCUAAAUAACUAAAAAAUAUAAAUAUUCUGCUGAGUGGUAAUAUUAGACAUUGAAAAAAUUACAGUUAAUUUUACAUGUCAUACAUGGAACACAAUAUGCUCUUCUCACCAUUGGAAAUUUAAUUUAAGGGCUCAGCUUUUCCAUUUCCACUUUUAAGGAGUUAUUUGCUAAUAACCUGUUAGUUUUAGACCACGUGGGAAAUUCGAGGGAGCAUAGUUCAUAGUGUUUCAACUCCAAAGCAAAUGCCAUUAUGAAAUUAAAUGUUCACAUGCAAGAUCCAAUAGAUAGUUGGGUUUACACAGAGGAGAUAUGGCUUUCUAAAGUAUUAUUUAUCACACUACUAAAUCACAAAGUAUUUCCUUAAAUCAUCAAAAUUUAAUACUCCAUCAAAUGAAAAAUUAAAAACUUGAAAAAGUUGCUGAUGGAGGACAGUAAUAUUAAGGGUCUCCUUUAAUAAAAUCCUUUGGGUUAUUUUAUUACUUCCAAUUCAAUUAAUUUCAGAGUGUCUUUGGCUAGAUCUUGCACCUGAGGUAAUUAGGUAAAGGUCACAGAUCACAAAUAAAACAAGCAAAUAUAAAUUACCUCUUAAGACUUCUUCCAUCAUUAUUGUGAGUGUAUUUCUAGAGCUUCACUCCAACACAAAUAUGCUGAAGAGAAAUGAGAAAAGUCCAAACCAUAUUCAUUCUUAAAGAAGCUAAGUACACAGAACAAUACACUUUGAAAAUAUUCCAAAACAAAUGGCUGGUUUGAGCAAAACAACUGGUGAAGUAAAAGGAAAACUCUAACCAUAAGGCUUAGUGUAACUGAAUCUUAAACUCCUGUCAUUUUCAGAAGAAUGUGUUGGAAUACUAUGGGCAGUAUGUCUUAGUAAAGCUGGGUCCAUACAAUUUUGGUCUGCUCUUAAAGAUUAAAAGAGUUAUCUCAUUCUACACUAUGUUCAAUCUGCAAACUUGAUAGAAGAGAGACAAUAUUAACUUUUUGGAAGAAAAGAAGAUUUUAAAUUGUCCCCUUAUGAUCCUGUGAAUUACAUAUGUACUAUAUUCAACAUUAUUUUUGCCUCUCAACUACAACUCAGAAAAGUGUUGGAAUAUUCAUAUAUAGAGUAAGGAAACUAGAUGUGAAAAAGAGCAUCCAGAAACAACUGGUCAAUCCCAGGUUCAAAGGAAACUUUUUUCAAAUGCUUGGAAUCACUCUUGGAAAAAGCAGAGGAUGAAAACCUCAAGCAAUUUGUUUUCUGUUUAUCUAUCAAAACCAAGACUUGGCUGAGGGAAUGUAUUUAGAAGAAUAUUCAUGAAGAAGUCUUAAAGAGCUCUGUAAUAACAAAUACAUUGUUCUCUCCUCCCCUCCUCCUUUCUCUCACUCCUCCUCCUUAUCAAACUCUUAUCUCUCCUAUAAAACAUGACUUUCCUUAGAGCAGGCAAUUUCAUCUGACUUCAUUCAAGACUAAACCUGGACAUGAACUCUCUUAAGGAAAAGUGUAAAUAUUCCUUCAAAUAUAUUUAUAUGUAAGAAAAUAUUUUGUUCUGAAACAUUUUCAUAUUUUCAUAAAAUCAUGUCUCAAGUAUGGAAAAAUGUAUACUUCUGACAUUUCUAUUUAACUGAAGUCCCUGUUUUCAUGGUGGGGCUCAGGUGUAGAGUUGAGCCACUCGAUGUGGCCUUUUCCUCACAGAAACAAGCAGAGGUUUUGCAUCUCAGAGCUUCAGUGAGACCCCAAUAGAAGAACACAUCAUAUGUGAAAAACUACUACAGAAAUGUGUUUAAGGGAACAAAAGACUCUUCCCAUUUCUAAAGAUCUCACAGUCCAAUGAGGACAAACAAAACCAAUGUGGCACCAUCUCAAGAUACAACUGUUGGCAAUAUUUAGAACAUGAAUUAGAGACGUCAAAAAUGUUUUAAAGAAGCAAUUGUUAAAAUAAUUUAUGUGUUGUGAUUCUAUUUUGUGAACUAUAAUUAGAAAUAGCAAUUGUUCAUUUCACUGAUUACACAGGGGGAAAAGGUCAGAUAAGGCCCUGUAAUAUUUUUUUUAUAUGUUUGGUCUGUAAGUAUAAUUUCAAAUUACUCAGCAGAAAAGCUCAUUUACAAAGUUGCACACUAGGGAAUAGUCUUGUUGCUGAGAUGGUUAGCACCAACAGGCUAUGCUGACAUAAACCAAAUUUUGGUGGUUCGAAUUUUGAAAUUCAAAUAAUCUCUUUUGAAAAGAGUAGCCGUGAAUGCUUGUAUACAAUAUUGUUAGGCCUGUUUACCAUCUUCUACACCAAAUGCAUUCAUGGGAAGUCCAAUCUGGGGUGAUUGAUUUAUGUUCUAGAAACAUGGUCUAGAAGAAUAGAGGGAUUCAGUGAAAUGGUGCGGCUGGGACAGCGCAUUGUCAGAACUGUCAAAUCUGGAUUCAGCAAGAUUAAAAAAAAAAAAAGACAAUUUUGUGGCCAAUAAAGAGCAAAUUCACAUGAUCACCUGUAUGUCCUCAUGGAAGAACAUCUGCAUCAAGUCCAUACCACAGGCUCUCAACUAGAAUAAUGGAAAUGAAAGCACUUUGAAAAUUAUAAAAGAAGGAUAGGAUAAGCAGUGGAGUUAGCUAGAGCUCCUGCAAACUUAUUUGAGCCCCAAAGCAACACUCUUUAGUGAUUAUUUUGUUCCUCUCAGAAUAAUGGACUUAACUUGUAUGCAUAUGACUGUUCUCUGAAUUGCAGCAAAGGGAAUAUAAACUUUCUCAAGAAUGUUAUGGACUGAUGCUGAUAGACAGAGACUUUCCAAAAAAGAAAAACAGAUACAACAUGGUAUCAGAAUAAGAAUCUACCUAACUAGAGGUCUGAAUUUAGAAGUCAGUAAGAACAUUCUCUAUAUUCCUAGAAUGGCAUUAAAUUCUCUAGGAAAGAAGCCAAGUGUUAACACCUUAGCCAGGAAUAAUAAACCAGUCCCACUUUGGUACAUAUAAGAUGACCUGGAAGCUUAUUUUAAAAUACACUUUAUUUGGCCCUGCCCCAAGAGAUUCUCACUUAUUAUGGGAUUUUGAUGCCUUAGUCCUUGACCACACCUUGAAAACUACUGAGUCCUGAUCCCUCACUAGGACCUUUAAAGUCAUUAUUUACUUCACAAAUCGUAAUAAGCAACUAUAUGGAAAACUUCUUGUGGGUAAGCCUAUCUAAUCUUUGUACUCCACAAAUUAUUUAAACUUGGAUAAUGCCCCUAGGUAUCUGUUAAACUAAUGACCAAUCCCAAACUAAGGAAUAUAUCUUAAAUCUUCUGGUGAUGCCCAAUUUACCUAUAGAUCUGUCCUCACAAUAAGAUGACUAGUUCUAUUUGGGGUUUGGGUUUCUUUGUUUUUAAACACUUUUUCAGCUCAGUGAAAGGCACUGCAUUAAGUGUACUGGAUCAUAGAAUUAUCCCUUAUAUAUACAUAAUGCCUGAAAUUUCAAAAACAAGUCCACAGCCUAAUUUAAUAAUGAAAAAUAAAGGAGACCAACAUAUUCUUUCUGCCCUCUGGAGAUUAUAAUUUAGUGACAACAUACUAACAGAGAAACAUAUAAGAAAUAUAGAAUACAUAAUUGGAAGCCAAGUUGUAUGAUUUCAGACUACAAAUAACUGAGUGCUACAGAGAAAAGGAGGCAUUAAUGGGACCUGGAGUAAUCAAGGAGGACUUUGGAGGAAAAUUAGGACUUCUUUCAAGGAAACAUUAGAUUCAGAUAUUUAAAGGAAAAACAAUACAUGUGGGAGAAAUAAGCUGAGUGGGGAUAGGGAGACACAAUAGAUCUUAGAGAAAUCUUCUGGACAUUAAGGAUAGCUACCCAAAACAUGUCCAUUUUAUGAGGGAUUAAUGAAGAAAGACAGCUAGUCCUUUAAUAUUUGCCACUACAAUAAAGCCCCAAGUAAGGGAAAAGUGAAUGAAGUCAAUUUAUAUCUGAUGAGAAAAUAUUCCACCCAUAUACUAUGAAUAUAAAGAGAAAAACAGCUUCUAGGUUAGCAUGUUUGUUUUCUAAUCUUUGUGAAUUUCAUUUAUUAUCUAUAGAAAAUAUACUACACUAUUUGUCUUAUAGGUGUUAUAAUUCUAAAAGUGUUCUUAUAGUCUUGAUUUUCCAAGUGAAAAAAUAUAUGUGUAUACACAUAUAUACAAAAUAUAUAUAUAUGUCUUUGUUUCUAUAUUAUAUUGUCACAAUAUAUUUAAAAGUAUUUAUACCUGUAUAUAUUAUUCAGGGGUCCUUCACAACUCUGGACUUAUCCAAUUAUGCUAAAUAUAGAAAUCAGAGCUAGCUCAGGGACCUAGGCCCUUCAUGAACUUAAACUUUAAGAUGAAAUCUAAAACUGAAGAGCAUGUAGUGUUUAGCUUCAGAUUACUUCUGACAACUUCAUAGACUUGCAUGUUGCUUAUGAUGUGCUCCUGAAUGCAUUGGCUUCCUUCUUAUCAGUUUUACAAAGUAGUGUGCUGACUCGCUUCAUCCCUUGGGAAUUCACUGUUGUGUCCUUGUGGGACAAAGACUCUUCUAUAAGAAAGUGCAGUAUUAUGUGUGCUGCUGUGGAAAACUAUGUGUCUGUUCCAAUAUGUGUACUGUGAGCAAUAA
RNAcentral lists this long non-coding RNA (5761 nucleotides) under Canis lupus familiaris (dog). RNAcentral's name for it is "lncRNA (ENSCAFG00845011209.1)". Lineage: Eukaryota; Metazoa; Chordata; Mammalia; Carnivora; Canidae. The record is from RNAcentral.